This 164-nucleotide ribosomal RNA is filed under the name Lysiandra subcrenulata. RNAcentral describes it as "Phyllanthus subcrenulatus 5.8S ribosomal RNA". It matches the Rfam family "5.8S ribosomal RNA". Rfam says of the family: 5.8S ribosomal RNA (5.8S rRNA) is a component of the large subunit of the eukaryotic ribosome. The record is from RNAcentral. Lineage: Eukaryota; Viridiplantae; Streptophyta; Magnoliopsida; Malpighiales; Phyllanthaceae.
AAAACGACUCUCGACAACGGAUAUCUCGGCUCUCGCAUCGAUGAAGAACGCAGCGAAAUGCGAUACUUGGUGUGAAUUGCAGAAUCCCGUGAACCAUCGAGUCUUUGAACGCAAGUUGCGCCCAAAGCCUUCCGGCCGAGGGCACGUCUGCCUGGGUGUCACGC